Molecule: long non-coding RNA, 507 nt
Organism: Salvelinus fontinalis (brook trout)
Lineage: Eukaryota; Metazoa; Chordata; Actinopteri; Salmoniformes; Salmonidae
Exons: 3
Source: RefSeq, a predicted model, not a curated record
CCUAUGUCUCACAUCCCUUUGUCUCCUGUUUCCAGGCCCACCCCUCUUCCCUGUCUCAUUGACGGCCAACCAGCGUACACGGUGUGGCGCCUCCUGAAGAUUUGACCACGGGUCAGGGGAUUCCAGUACCUCGUUGACUGAGAGGGUUAUGGGCCGGAGGAGAGGUGCUCAGUCCCCGCUAGGGACAUCCUGGACCCAGGCCUCAUCGCUGAGUUCCAACGCUGGCACCCCAGUCAACCAGCAAAGGAGCAGUGGUAAAGAGCAGAAGCAGGGGUUUCCUAGACCUCAGCCGCACCACUGACAUGAGAACCAUCUCCAUCCUCAACAUCAUGCUCUGGACAGUGACCUCCAUGUUUUCUACAGUCUCUCCCUCAACACCAACAUGAACAGCCACUCCUACCUCAACUACUUUAACUCGGCACUAACAAGAUCCUGACCUACAUGAGUACCUGGGUUUGGAAUGGCCGUUCCCGGCGACCCACUAUCCUCUUGUACUUGCUGCUUUUC